Long non-coding RNA from Monomorium pharaonis (pharaoh ant), 960 nucleotides. RefSeq lists it as uncharacterized. NCBI's taxonomy places the organism in Eukaryota, Metazoa, Arthropoda, Insecta, Hymenoptera, Formicidae. The record is from RefSeq and is a predicted model, not a curated record. The transcript is spliced from 2 exons.
CUCUCUCUCUCUCUCUCUCUCUCUCUCUCUGUCUCUCUUGCAGCCAUAUGUCGAAUUAUUAGUCAAAUUGUUACGGGAGAACGUUCGGAUUGUGAAUGUAUUUCCUAUACAUUUCUUAUGUCUGUAACAAUACAUUGUGAAGGCGUGGAGGAGGGACAAUGUACGCAUUCUCUUUACAUGAUGAUUGACAUGUAAGCUAUCCGGUGUCUCUUGGCACGAGUCACAUGGACACGUGGCUGUCAAGCCACAUUGUAAUCAACGACCUCGUGGGUUGAAAAACUCGGUUGUGAAGGUCGAUAGCGUGCACGGGGGCCUCGUAUGGGGAACCCGGGGCCGUUCAGGCUACCGAGACGCCGGUGACGCAAUAUGAAAAAAUGUAGAAAGGUCAAGAAAAUGCGAGAAUGUUGACCGAGCGUCUUUCUCCAUGCUUACUCAUAGAUUGCAUUGUGCGUGUGUGGGUCAAGAGAAGGGAGAAAACGUAGGAAAACGGACGUGUCCGUGCGUGAGGCGUUUUUGUUUUUUCGGGCAGAACCUUUAGGACCGUCGUACAGUAAAGGGAUAGAGGAUGAUGAGAGAAAUAAUUAAUAUAUCGAGCUGAUGUUAUAGGUUUUUAGAAACACUCGAAAAAAAUAUUAUUAGGUGUCAUUAAGGUGAGGUCUACAUAAUUAAUGUUGUUUUUGCCCAUUUCUAAUGUUAUUAAUUUUAUUCGGCUGUGUAACAAAUUAAACACAUCACAGGAAUUUUCUAUUUUUUAUUUUUUUACACAGUUUCAUGCAGAUAUAUAAAAUAUAUUACUUUGCAUCUCUCUACUUUUCUGGGACUUUAAUAGAUUAUAUUAUUUACACCUAAUAUAAAUGUAGAUUAUUUUAUAUUUUACUCUUUAAUACUGAUGUUAUCUUGUAUUACUGUAUUAUAAAUAGAAAUAUAUAAAUAAAACACUCGAUUAUAUAUCUUACAAAA